RNAcentral lists this small nucleolar RNA (83 nucleotides) under Nelumbo nucifera (sacred lotus). RNAcentral's name for it is "Small nucleolar RNA snoR53Y". It matches the Rfam family "Small nucleolar RNA snoR53Y". Lineage: Eukaryota; Viridiplantae; Streptophyta; Magnoliopsida; Proteales; Nelumbonaceae. The record is from Rfam by way of RNAcentral.
GUUCCCAAUGAUGGUAACUUUGACCAUGCUAAUACUGAUUAUAGUUGAUGAUUGGAUAUCCAUUUUAAUAUGCUGAGGGAACC